CAUAUGUCUGUGUGUGUGUCUGUAUUUAACAUGUGAAUAUAUAUAUAUAAAAACACACACACAUACACACAGGU
RNAcentral lists this microRNA precursor (74 nucleotides) under Chlorocebus sabaeus (green monkey). RNAcentral's name for it is "miRNA (ENSCSAG00000024810.1)". The record is from RNAcentral. Lineage: Eukaryota; Metazoa; Chordata; Mammalia; Primates; Cercopithecidae.